AUGAUGAUCAAACAGGGACUUAAUACUGAUCAUGUAUGAUGUCACCAUUUCAAACAUCUGA
Molecule: small nucleolar RNA, 61 nt
Filed under: Oryzias melastigma (Indian medaka)
Lineage: Eukaryota; Metazoa; Chordata; Actinopteri; Beloniformes; Adrianichthyidae
Description: Small nucleolar RNA SNORD82 (ENSOMEG00000020703.1)
Source: RNAcentral